AGCGUAGGCGGAUUUUUAAGUGAGAUGUGAAAUACUCGGGCUUAACCUGAGUGCUGCAUUUCAAACUGGAAGUCUAGAGUGCAGGAGAGGAGAAGGGAAUCCCUAGUGUAGCGGUGAAAUGCGUAGAGAUUAGGAAGAACACCAGUGGCGAAGGCGCUUCUCUGGACUGUAACUGACGCUGAGGCUCGAAAGCGUGGGAGCAAACA
This 206-nucleotide ribosomal RNA is filed under the name uncultured bacterium. RNAcentral's name for it is "partial 16S ribosomal RNA". It matches the Rfam family "Bacterial small subunit ribosomal RNA", at positions 568 to 774 of the family's 1533-position model. The record is from RNAcentral.